This 395-nucleotide ribosomal RNA is filed under the name uncultured bacterium. Its description in RNAcentral is "partial 16S ribosomal RNA". It matches the Rfam family "Bacterial small subunit ribosomal RNA", at positions 523 to 918 of the family's 1533-position model. The record is from RNAcentral.
AUACGUAGGGUGCAAGCGUUAAUCGGAAUUACUGGGCGUAAAGCGUGCGCAGGCGGUUUUGUAAGACAGUGGUGAAAUCCCCGGGCUCAACCUGGGAACUGCCAUUGUGACUGGAAGGCUGGAGUGCGGCAGAGGGGGAUGGAAUUCCGCGUGUAGCAGGGAAAUGCGUAGAUAUGCGGAGGAACACCGAUGGCGAAGGCAAUCCCCUGGGCCUGCACUGACGCUCAUGCACGAAAGCGUGGGGAGCAAACGGGAUUAGAUACCCUGGUAGUCCACGCCCUAAACGAUGUCAACUGGUUGUUGGGGAUUUAUUUUCUCAGUAACGAAGCUAACGCGUGAAGUUGACCGCCUGGGGAGUACGGCCGCAAGGUUAAAACUCAAAUGAAUUGACGGGG